AGUGAACGCUGGCGGCGUGCUUAACACAUGCAAGUCGAACGGAUGAAAUAAGCUUGCUUAUUUCGUUAGUGGCGCACGGGUGAGUAAUGUAUAGCUAACCUGCCCUUUAGUGGGGGACAACAGUUGGAAACGGCUGCUAAUACCCCAUACUCCUUCUUAUCAUAAGGUAAGUUGGGAAAGAUUUAUUGCUAAAGGAUGGGGCUUUAUGGUAUCAGUUAGUUGGUGGGGUAAUGGCCUACCAAGACUAUGACGCCUACCUGGUCUGAGAGGAUGAUCAGGCACACUGGAACUGAGACACGGUCCAGACUCCUACGGGAGGCAGCAGUGGGGAAUAUUGCACAAUGGAGGAAACUCUGAUGCAGCAACGCCGCGUGGAGGAUGACGCAUUUCGGUGUGUAAACUCCUUUUAUAAGGGAAGAUAAUGACGGUACCUUAAUGAAUAAGCACCGGCUAACUCCGUGCCAGCAGCCGCGGUAAUCUCGUCUCUACUGAC
Molecule: ribosomal RNA, 493 nt
Filed under: uncultured bacterium
Lineage: Bacteria
Description: bacterial SSU rRNA
Rfam family: Bacterial small subunit ribosomal RNA
Source: RNAcentral